Long non-coding RNA from Zingiber officinale, 333 nucleotides. RefSeq lists it as uncharacterized. The record is from RefSeq and is a predicted model, not a curated record. NCBI's taxonomy places the organism in Eukaryota, Viridiplantae, Streptophyta, Magnoliopsida, Zingiberales, Zingiberaceae. The transcript is spliced from 2 exons.
UUUUCUCAAGACUCGCAGGUGAGUACAGUUUAUUCAGUUAUGCAUUUCUUAUUAUUGUUGCAGUGGACUUUAUUACGUUGCUUAUUGUUGGUUAUUACAGUUUAUUCAGCUAUGCAUUACAGGAGACUAUACUCUAGGUUAUUGCUGGUUGAGGCCGUCGGGAGAUUCCAAUCGCUUGCCCCAUUAUCGUGACGAUUUUCAGUUGUAGACUUUUAUUUUCUUUUCUAUGUCUUUACAUACUUGUGAUGUGGGUGUUGGACCGUUGCGGCCGGCUAGGAGGGGGUUGGAUAUCCUGCAAACACAAAAAGACAAACCCUCCUCGAACUCUUUAAA